Molecule: ribosomal RNA, 635 nt
Filed under: uncultured Marinobacter sp.
Lineage: Bacteria; Pseudomonadati; Pseudomonadota; Gammaproteobacteria; Pseudomonadales; Marinobacteraceae
Description: bacterial SSU rRNA
Rfam family: Bacterial small subunit ribosomal RNA
Source: RNAcentral
CGCCUGGGGAGUACGGCCGCAAGGUUAAAACUCAAAUGAAUUGGCGGGGGCCCGCACAAGCGGUGGAGCAUGUGGUUUAAUUCGACGCAACGCGAAGAACCUUACCUGGCCUUGACAUCCAGAGAGCUUUCCAGAGAUGGAUUGGUGCCUUCGGGAACUCUGAGACAGGUGCUGCAUGGCCGUCGUCAGCUCGUGUCGUGAGAUGUUGGGUUAAGUCCCGUAACGAGCGCAACCCCUAUCCCCGGUUGCUAGCAGGUAAUGCUGAGAACUCCAGGGAGACUGCCGGUGACAAACCGGAGGAAGGUGGGGAUGACGUCAGGUCAUCAUGGCCCUUACGGCCAGGGCUACACACGUGCUACAAUGGCGCGUACAGAGGGCUGCCAACUCGCGAGAGUGAGCCGAUCCCUUAAAACGCGUCGUAGUCCGGAUCGGAGUCUGCAACUCGACUCCGUGAAGUCGGAAUCGCUAGUAAUCGCGAAUCAGAAUGUCGCGGUGAAUACGUUCCCGGGCCUUGUACACACCGCCCGUCACACCAUGGGAGUGGAUUGCACCAGAAGUAGUUAGUCUAACCUUCGGGAGGACGAUUACCACGGUGUGGUUCAUGACUGGGGUGAAGUCGUAACAAGGUAACCGUA